GAUGAACGCUGGCGGCGUGCCUAAUACAUGCAAGUCGAGCGAACAGACGAGGAGCUUGCUCCUCUGACGUUAGCGGCGGACGGGUGAGUAACACGUGGAUAACCUACCUAUAAGACUGGGAUAACUUCGGGAAACCGGAGCUAAUACCGGAUAAUAUAUUUAACCGCAUGGUUCAAUAGUGAAAGACGGUUUUGCUGUCACUUAUAGAUGGAUCCGCGCCGCAUUAGCUAGUUGGUAAGGUAACGGCUUACCAAGGCGACGAUGCGUAGCCGACCUGAGAGGGUGAUCGGCCACACUGGAACUGAGACACGGUCCAGACUCCUACGGGAGGCAGCAGUAGGGAAUCUUCCGCAAUGGGCGAAAGCCUGACGGAGCAACGCCGCGUGAGUGAUGAAGGUCUUCGGAUCGUAAAACUCUGUUAUUAGGGAGGAACAAAUGUGUAAGUAACUAUGCACGUCUUGACGGUACCUAAUCAGAAAGCCACGGCUAACUACGUG
Molecule: ribosomal RNA, 497 nt
Filed under: uncultured bacterium
Lineage: Bacteria
Description: partial 16S ribosomal RNA
Rfam family: Bacterial small subunit ribosomal RNA
Source: RNAcentral